This 888-nucleotide ribosomal RNA is filed under the name Ramaria conjunctipes. Its description in RNAcentral is "eukaryotic LSU rRNA". It matches the Rfam family "Eukaryotic large subunit ribosomal RNA", at positions 75 to 937 of the family's 3401-position model. Lineage: Eukaryota; Fungi; Basidiomycota; Agaricomycetes; Gomphales; Gomphaceae. The record is from RNAcentral.
UUCCCCUAGUAACGGCGAGUGAAGCGGGAAGAGCUCAAAUUUGUAAUCUGGCGGUCUCUGGCCGUCCGAGUUGUAGUCUGGAGAAGCGUUAUCCGCGUCGGACCGUGUACAAGUCCCUUGGAACGGGGCGUCGUAGAGGGUGAGAAUCCCGUCUUUGACACGGACUGCCGAUGCUUUGUGAUGCGCUCUCGAAGAGUCGAGUUGUUUGGGAAUGCAGCUCAAAUCGGGUGGUAAAUUCCAUCUAAAGCUAAAUAUGGGCGAAAGACCGAUAGCGAACAAGUACCGUGAGGGAAAGAUGAAAAGCACUUUGGAAAGAGAGUUAAACAGUACGUGAAAUUGUUGAAAGGGAAACGUUUGAAGUCAGUCGCGUCUUCCGGGAUUCAGCCUUGCCUCGCGCUUGGCGUACUUCCCGGGGUGAUGGGCCAGCAUCGAUUUCGACCGUCGGAGACAGGCUUUGGGAAUGUGGCACCUUCGGGUGUGUUAUAGCCCUUUGUCGUAUGCGACGGUUGGGAUCGAGGAUCGCAGCACGCGCCUUUAUCGGCUCGGGGUUCGCCCACGUUCAACGUGCUUAGGAUGCUGGCGUAAUGGCUUUAAGCGACCCGUCUUGAAACACGGACCAAGGAGUCUAACAUGCGUGCGAGUGUUUGGGUGGAAAACCCAGACGCGAAAUGAAAGUGAAAGGGUUGGGACCCCUGUCGUGGGGGGCACCGACGCCCGGACCAGACCUUUUUGUGACGGAUCCGAGGUAGAGCAUGUAUGCUGGGACCCGAAAGAUGGUGAACUAUGCCUGAGUAGGGUGAAGCCAGAGGAAACUCUGGUGGAGGCUCGUAGCGAUUCUGACGUGCAAAUCGAUCGUCGAACUUGGGUAUAGGGGCGAAAGACUAAUCG